AUGCUUGUCAUAGUUCUUCCUUGCGUAGUUGUGAUGAUGGGUGUGACUGAGAAAGAUAACGAAACCCUAACACCUGUCAGAACGAGCAGUGUUCAACAGUGCUUCAGAAAGAGCUUAUCUUCCAGAGUUUCAGUACUUCUAAUUUACUUGCUGAAGAGAAGGUUUUGUAUGAACUAUGAAUGGCCAUGGGUAACUGAGUUUCAAAAGCAGACAGUCUUGUUUCUGCCCCCUCUGGAUGCUUCAAGUUAAGGCACUUUAAAAUCACCAGAAAUGCUUUCACAUCAAGUUUUUCUAUAUAAAAUGCUAAACUAAUAUUGCAAAUUUGACACUGGAUUUGACUUUUAAAGUAGAAAUGUUGCUUGAAAGUAACCCUGAAUCCUUUGCACUAAAACACAUAUUUUCUCAUUUAAUCAUUAGUUUUCAAUGAAAACUGUUCCUUAUAUCAGACUCUCCUAGUUACACAUAAAAUUCUGUAACCAAGAAAACUAUGAAAAAUGUUAUAGCAGCUUGUCCUAAGUUCAAAAAAAAUCAAAUUUUCUUCUAGAAUUAUAGAAACAAACAAAGAAGUUAAGGGUUCUGUAGUGGGUUUACGUGGGAAGGUUUUGGUAGCAGCGGGCCAUAGGGGUGGCU
This 630-nucleotide long non-coding RNA is filed under the name Anser cygnoides (Swan goose). RNAcentral describes it as "lncRNA (ENSACDG00005001313.1)". Lineage: Eukaryota; Metazoa; Chordata; Aves; Anseriformes; Anatidae. The record is from RNAcentral.